CCAAUGGGGCCUGGCACCAAAUGCGCUGGGGGUACUGGCGUGGUUUCUAGGUAGGGGCACUAUUUGGAUUUUGGGUGCGGUGUUCCUCCGUUGUGCCCAGCUGCUCCCCUCCCCCCCACCACCUACUAAACGCCAGCCGGUCCCCUCCCCCAGUCACUGUGGCACCCAGAACUUCUCUCUCUCAAGUCCCCCCUCGUCGAGGACUGCUGGCCGAGACGCCGACAGUGACAGCACCUGAGCUCCUGCUGGAUGCCAGGCACCGCCCCCCCCCUCCCCGCCGCCCAGGGCUGCAGCCCCCGCUGGGUUUGACCCUCCCUGCGGACCGGAGAGCCACAUGCCUCUCUGGCCCUCGUUGUGCAGAAGAGGGGGCUCAGAGAGGCCGGAGGACCUGCCCAAGAUGGCCCAGGCUUUGACCGCAGAAACCCUCCAACACCACAGCCGCCUGGAGGAAGGCGACAGCGAUCCAGGGAGAGCAGCCGGGGGUCCAAGCCCGGCCCUGCCAGGUGCUAGCUGUGUGACACCGGGUGAGUAACACAACCUCUCUGUGCAUCAGAGCUUCGUGGGCGCUGUUCUGGUGGCCCGUGCGAGUGUGGAGGGGGGCAGUGCCCAGCCAUCCCUGGCAGCCCUGAGGGCCUC
Molecule: long non-coding RNA, 636 nt
Filed under: Dasypus novemcinctus (nine-banded armadillo)
Lineage: Eukaryota; Metazoa; Chordata; Mammalia; Cingulata; Dasypodidae
Description: lncRNA (ENSDNOG00000051694.1)
Source: RNAcentral